RNAcentral lists this ribosomal RNA (433 nucleotides) under uncultured bacterium. RNAcentral describes it as "partial 16S ribosomal RNA". It matches the Rfam family "Bacterial small subunit ribosomal RNA", at positions 29 to 507 of the family's 1533-position model. The record is from RNAcentral.
AACGAACGCUGGCGGCAUGCCUAACACAUGCAAGUCGAACGAGACCUUCGGGUCUAGUGGCGCACGGGUGCGUAACGCGUGGGAACCUGCCCUUAGGUUCGGAAUAACUCCCCGAAAGGGGUGCUAAUACCGGAUAAUGUCUUCGGACCAAAGAUUUAUCGCCUUUGGAUGGGCCCGCGUUGGAUUAGCUAGUUGGUAGGGUAAAAGCCUACCAAGGCGACGAUCCAUAGCUGGUCUGAGAGGAUGAUCAGCCACACUGGGACUGAGACACGGCCCAGACUCCUACGGGAGGCAGCGGUGGGGAAUAUUGGACAGUGGGCGAGAGCCUGAUCCAGCAAUGCCGCGUGAGUGAUGAAGGCCUUAGGGUUGUAAAGCUCUUUUACCCGGGAUGUUAAUGACAGUACCGGGAGAAUAAGCUCCGGCUAACUCCGUG